GACGAACGCUGGCGGCGUGCUUAACACAUGCAAGUCGAACGGUGAAAGAGAGCUUGCUCUCUGGAUCAGUGGCGAACGGGUGAGUAACACGUGAGAAACCUGCCCCGAAGACCGGGAUAACCCUCCGAAAGGAGAGCUAAUACCGGAUACCCCCACCGAACCGCAUGGUUUGGUGAGGAAAUGGAUUCCGCUUCGGGAGGGUCUCGCGGCCUAUCAGCUAGUUGGUGGGGUAACGGCCCACCAAGGCAUUGACGGGUAGCUGGUCUGAGAGGACGAUCAGCCACACUGGGACUGAGACACGGCCCAGACUCCUACGGGAGGCAGCAGUAGGGAAUCUUGCGCAAUGGGCGAAAGCCUGACGCAGCAACGCCGCGUGGGGGAUGAAGGCUCUCGGGUUGUAAACCCCUUUCAGUGGGGACGAAUCAAGACGGUACCCACAGAAGAAGCCCCGGCUAACUACGUGC
This 464-nucleotide ribosomal RNA is filed under the name uncultured bacterium. RNAcentral's name for it is "bacterial SSU rRNA". It matches the Rfam family "Bacterial small subunit ribosomal RNA", at positions 28 to 508 of the family's 1533-position model. The record is from RNAcentral.